Non-coding RNA from Pelobates cultripes (western spadefoot toad), 168 nucleotides. Lineage: Eukaryota; Metazoa; Chordata; Amphibia; Anura; Pelobatidae. The record is from the annotation of a GenBank genome assembly.
GCAGACACAUUCCAGCCAAUCGGCAGCAGACCCUCCCUCCCAGACCCUUCCACCUCCUGGACAGCUCACUAAGAAUGCAGCUUCACAAUGAAUGUAAAAUGGAUGCUGUCCAGGAGGUGGGAGGGUCUGGGAGGGAGGGUCUGCUGCUGAUUGGCUGCAAUGUGUCUG